GCUUACGACCACACCGCCUGAUACGCCUGAUCUCGUCUGAUCUCGGAAGCUAAGCAGGGUCGGGCCUGGUUAGUACUUGGAUGGGAGACCGCCUGGGAAUACCAGGUGCUGUAAGCU
RNAcentral lists this ribosomal RNA (117 nucleotides) under Oncorhynchus kisutch (coho salmon). The record is from RNAcentral. Lineage: Eukaryota; Metazoa; Chordata; Actinopteri; Salmoniformes; Salmonidae.